UUUCCGUAGGUGAACCUGCGGAAGGAUCAUUACCGAGUGAGGGUCUAAAAGGCCCGCCCUCCCGCCCUGUUUUUUUGUGCCCUUAUUGCUUUGGCGGACCCGCCUCGAUGUAAGGCCGCCGACAGCUCCCCGCUUUAGGCCCUUGACCGUCAGUAGCCCCCUUCACUUCUUAAUAAACCUGUCGUCUGAGUUAAUGGAUAUAAUGAAAAAAACUUUCAACAACGGAUCUCUUGGUUCUG
RNAcentral lists this unclassified non-coding RNA (239 nucleotides) under plant metagenome. RNAcentral's name for it is "partial contains small subunit ribosomal RNA, internal transcribed spacer 1, and 5.8S ribosomal RNA". The record is from RNAcentral.